GUCAAAAGCUAAUUUUAGUACUCUCAAUGCUUCUCCUUCUAGCAGCAAGGCAGCAUAUCAAAGAAGCUCUUUAGCUCCAUGCUUGCAUUGGUUACAGGGCUCGUUUUCAUGAUUCCUGAAAUGCCUGGCCUUCAUCCCAGCAUGAAAUUGAGCCUUAUGCCACAUCUCCAGUGUGUUACUAAAAAAAAAAGAAGAAGAAUGAAAAAGCCCUUCCUCUGCAUUGUGAGUAUUCAUUUGCUUUAGCCAACUGAAAGCCCCCCACCCCCCAAAUAGAAACCAAGAUGACACUACUGAUUUACUGUAAAUAGGUGCCACAGGCAAUUUGCUGCACGGUAUGGUUUUCUUGAGAGUGCUAGACCACAUUUGAACAAAGACACCUAAAAAUAAAAAUAAAAAAAUCAAUGAUCCCGGUUGCAGCCUAAAUGCUUUGUUAGCCUUUUACUACAACAUUACAUAUUACAUGCAAAUAAUGGGAGAAAUUUAAUGCUACCAGUCUUGCCAGGCAAUUCCUUUGGAUCUUUAAUAUAUAUAUAUAUAUAUAUAUAUAUACAGAUCUUGAACAGUAACAUUUUUCUUUUUAGCGUGAAGUUGCUCAAGGUUCACUGGAGACUUUGAAAUUGCUGCUUUCAGAAAAAUAACAAUGUAAAAUGACAUUAUGAUAUAUAGCACCUUCCUGUGGGCUUGAACCAGUGCAAGUGCCAGCUGCUAAUGCCUUUGGGAAUGAAGCAAUCUCCAGGGCACCAUUGUCCAAUUGUCCUUCUAACUGUAUCCUGUUUAAUUAGUUGCAAUUAAUUUCAAGCAGCAGCCUCCUGGAACAUCACAUCAGGAAGCAUUGGGAGUGUAUAUGUGGAAAUGCUGGAUAUUCAAAAUUACGAAGACUGGAGAGUGUGUGUGUUAAGAGGAGAGAAGUAAACAAGCAGCAAAACGUUUUUGGCUUAACCAAUCUGGAAGCGAACUAUACAAAACUUCUUGUGCUAGAUACUUUGGAGGGACACACACACACACACACACACAAACAAAUAAACAAACAAACAAAUAAGACACAAUGCCACUUAUUAAAAAAAGAAAUAUUCUGAAGUAAGUCCUGCCCAUGCUGAAAAACCAGGCCCAUUAACUGGCCUGAUUCACAUGCCACCUUAAACCAUAGUUAAGCUUAACUAUGGUCUGAAGGUGAAUUUGCAGCGUGCCGAUGCACAGGUCAAAAUUGCAGGUGCUUUGCUCCUCUUCCGCAGUAGUAGACUUUCUACAGCAUUAUUGCAGCUGCACCGGUUGAAUUACCCUCAAACCGCCUCUGCUCCUUUGCUCUUGCUGCUGUCGUGCUGCUAGGAGCUAAGCCAUAGCGUGGCUUAGUUUCCUAUUGAAACCUGAGCCCAUGGUUUGUUUCAGGGGGAAAUUAGGCACAUGUUUGAAAUGUUGGAUGAAUAAUCAGAUACCGGCUUGCUCAGAGUCGAAGAAAGGGUCUCAGGUCAGGCACACUCAUGCUGCUGCGGUUUUGCACACUGAACCCCUGCACACUGCUGGUGGGAGAUGGGGAAACGGGGGGGGGGGGAGAGAUUUGGUGUGCAGCGUUGGAGAGCAGCAACACUUUUGCACCACACCUUCAAGCAACAACAGUAGCCUUCCUGAACAGUGAGAACUUGUCAUUUCAGCAGCAGUAACCUUUCACAUCAACAGCCUUUCUUAAUUCACCCUUAGGGGUUCCCAGGGGUGGAGUGGGGGCAUAUUAUUUGAACCAGAACUGUCUAGUUAUGGCACUCCAUGUUCCCUGUUAAAUUACAGUUGCUAACAUGACUUCUUUGUGGGGAAGGUUUGGCUUGAGUUAUAGCAUCAACAAAUCCACCAUUUACACUCAAUAAGACAUUCUUGUUGGCAAACAGUAUUAAUUAAAGACAUGCAGAGCCUUUAAUUAAAACUCCCAUGUUUUUGUGUUCUGUAGCUUUCAACAACAAAAUGUCUAGCCUUUGUUAUUGAUUAAAAUGAGCUCGCUUCUUUUCAAGAUACGGAGAAAACCCACGUGAUGAGUGGUCUAUCACAGAACUGAUACUGAAAGCAGAAGAGGGGUUGUUUUUUCUCCAGAGUAACUUGCAGGUGAUACAAUUGACUGUGGUAUGUAUGCUCAUUCCAGUAUUGGCAAUCGUUUCUUGGCUUUAUGGGUGUUUGCAAUUCUCCUGAAAAGCCUGUUUGACAGGAGGCAAGAGAACAUGGUGCAUGUUUGUGUAUCACAGGGCGUGAAGUCUCAUUUUGGACACCUAAAAGCUACUGCAUGCCUCCGGCCCAGAGAACAUGUUUUUAAAAUGUCUGAUCCCUGUCACAAACAGAAUUUCAUUUUGUGGCACCAAACGUCUGCUGUGGUUCUAAUGGACUCCCCUACCUCAACCUGCUUGCCAAGUGCCCUUCCCCGCACCUGAACAAAUCCCCUUCUUUCACUACUCACCAACCCCUUCACUUAUCCCCUCAUAGCUCACCCCAAAUCCCCCAUUUUAAGGGAGCAGGGAGGUGCUCCUCAGAGCAGCUUGCUAAAUUGCUCUGUGAAGUGCCUCUCCCCUCUGUUAAACCUUGCUGCAGCUGCAUUUAACUGGAGCUGGCAUAGCCACCUAUCAGCAGCCACAUGAGCUGCAGCAUGACGACAGUCUUACACUUUUAUGUAUAUAGGAAGAAAGGCACUAGCCUGAUUCACGGGCAACAAGAAACCAUGGUUGGCUGCAGUAUGAACAAACACUUCCCCGAUUUUUCACGCCCAUAAGGUGGAAACUUGAAACUUUUGAAUGUGGUUUGAAACAAGCAGCAGUUGCUCAUGACAUCCUGGGCUUGUGGGGAUUUUGCUUUGCUUAAACCAGGGGUCACUGACCUUUUUGGGCCAAUGGGCAUUUGGAAUUUUCAAAAAGUGCUGUGGGCGCCAGCCACAAACAGGCUGCUAUGAGGGUGUGGCAUAACACAAAAUGGCCACCACAUCUGAAGGAGUAGAAAAAGAGACAGGACUAUGGAGGGGGAGAGGUUGCUGAUGUUCAAAUAGGAAAUGUUGUGAUGUCCUGAAUGUGCACACCAACUUUCAUUCUGAAGUCUCAAUGUUCAAGGGAGAUAUUGUGCUACAAACAACAAGAGAAUGAAAAGCCAUCGGUUUCACUCAGCCAAACCAGAGUUCAGAAUGUGAGAAUGUCUUAAAGAUGAAGUGGCCUUCAGUAUUGGGCCAUCCAAAAUAAACACUUGUGGUAAGAGGCAAGCCUGUAUAACUUGUCAUUCACCUUUAAAUCAUGGGGGUUUGAGGGUGAAGAAAUAUUUGUUUGGGUUGCUUAAAUAAAGAAAUUCAAGAUAAUAAUUUGACCUUUGAGGCUGGUCCAUAAUUCAUUGCUUCCAAGACAGUCUAUUUUUGUUUUGUUUUUUCCCCUGUUUUGUUUUUAUUAUACUGGUGCCAUAAAUGGUUAUCUUCUCUCCACACAGUGUGACAGUAGUUUAAUUCCUGAUGCUAUGAAUCAGGGAUGGAGCUGGGUCGAUGACAGAGAGUUAGUGAUUUACAAUAGACCAGGCACUCUAUAAAAACCUAUGGCAAGGGGUUAUGAGUUAUCAAGAUGUGCUGAGCUGGCAUCCGUGGUCAGCAAUAUGCAGGGCGAUGGAAUCUCGCCUCUCAUGGCUGCCCAGCAUUCCAUUACUGCCUGUUAGCCUCUUGAGCGAGAGCCAGCGAAGGACGGGCGAUGGAGGGAGGAGUUCUCAGAAGGAUCUCACGGCUGGAGAAAUGGAGGGGGAACUUUUGAGGGAAACAAAUGGCAAAACGGUCACGCUGUCAAGACCCGCCGCAGCUCAUAAAUCUAAAAUGGGGAAAUUGUAUGUUCUGGAAUAUUAACAAAGCUGUUUGGACAACAGCAGCAGACUGAGGGGCUGAGAGAGACUCCCAAUUAUUAUUUUUCUGCAACGGCCAUAGUCCCAUGUUCCGGCAGAGGGUAAAGCUGAGUUUCUAGGAGGUUCCAGGUUUGUUCUCAAAAUAGCCUUGGAGAUGGGCCUUACCUUAUAUGCCCAGAGGCUUCUGGCAUGAUUGCCAGGAUCAUGCCUUCCUCAGCCUGCUGAAUGUCUUUGAGCAUCCGAGGCUACCCUGAAACAAACACUCAUAAG
RNAcentral lists this long non-coding RNA (4104 nucleotides) under Podarcis lilfordi (Lilford's wall lizard). Lineage: Eukaryota; Metazoa; Chordata; Lepidosauria; Squamata; Lacertidae. The record is from RNAcentral.